Molecule: long non-coding RNA, 3518 nt
Organism: Cavia porcellus (domestic guinea pig)
Lineage: Eukaryota; Metazoa; Chordata; Mammalia; Rodentia; Caviidae
Exons: 2
Source: RefSeq, a predicted model, not a curated record
CAUCCUUGCUCCGAAAUGCAGUCAUCACGGUUACAGCGUCGGGGUGCAGGACGGCUGCGGGAUGUGGGGUCUCCAGGGAGAUGCUCCGGCCGGCCGGGCGGGAGAAGAGUCCCCUCCCCGCCCCCAGCUAGCUCCGCGGCCGGGCGGGGAGCGAGCGAGGCGCCGCUCCAGGUUCUUUGGAUACCCGUUCCAAUAUAACAGGCUCUCCACAGCAAUGCAGCCAAGGUGCUCCUGACUUGUGCAAAUGUGAAGAAAACUGAAAUCGAGUGCAAACAUUGGUGUAACAAUGGGAGAUCUCAGAGACUCUUCUCCAGCCUCCUCUCCCUAACAGGUCAUAGUAAAAUGGGCAGGGGGGAAGGUAUUUGUCUUUCUUCAUUAAAGAAACCUGGUGAAAAUAGAAAUGCAACGGACGUGCACAAAGUAUUAUUAUUAUUAUUUGCAGAAAUGCACAGAGCAGUGCCAAAAAGUAUUACUGAAAUCCACUUAAUGGAAUAGAAAGUCUGGUGAAUAAGGAACCAAUUUUUAGUUCCUGUCAAGUGAAAAUGUAUCCCCUAAUCUUAAUUAUGCGAUCCUGUGUACAUCAAAUUCAUGCAAGAAAACCACUUAAUGUUGUGGUUUAUUUUUUUGGUUUUUACUUCUCAUUGUUGAUAUUUUAUGGGAGUUUAAGCAACAGUCCAUAGCUGGAUGGAGAAAGCAAAGAAAAUGAACUUGGCAUCUGACAGGCACUGCUGUGACAUCAGCGUGUGGCUUUCUGCCAGUCACCUGACCUCACUGUGCCUUUCAAAUGCUGCCUCAUCCGGAAAAUGGAGGCAAGCACUCAUUCUCUCUCUCUCUCCCCCAUUCACUGAUUUGGUUACUUACUUGUUUGCUGUAUCACUCCAUUAACCCAGCCAAUCUAGACGUAGCAGAUGUCCCCAGGAUACAAAGCCUUUCCAUGUUCCCCAUGCAGAAAUAUAAUCAUAAAUAAGGAAAAGGCUCAGUGUCAGUGUGAUGCAACUAAUAGUCACUUUGCUUAAAACAACAAGCUUGACAUUGUUAAACUAUUUAUGUGGCUGUCUUGGGAAAAAAUAGAAACAUGCAAGUUAGUUGGGAGAAGAGAUGUACUGGUUUCAUUGAAGCAGAGUAUGAAUCUCUACUGUUGGGUCAGAUUUUGGGGGGAUAACAGUGAAAUUUUGUGCUCAAUACAUUAAGUUUUCCAAAAGGAGAAUGCAAUACAACCAAACAGUAUGAUGACUGAGAGAAAAAGAACUAUUCAUUUUGGAGUAGUGCUUUGAGUUGUCAAAAAUGCAAGACUGUAUUAUGUUAUCUGCAGCCUCGCGAUAGGUUUUAGGGUUCUCCUAGAGUUCAUUUAAGAUUGUAGUAGUUCAAGGGGAAUUAUUUUGGGAUGAUAAAAAUGUUCUUUUUUCAUGAUUAUGGUGCUGGCUACAGAUUACAUCAAAACUCAUAAGACUUCAUGAAAAGCUAAGAUUUGUGCUGCAUGGAAAUUCUGCAAUGGACCUCAUUAAAAGUAAUUAUGAUCUGGGCAUGGUGGCAUAGGCCUGUAAUCUCAGCACUCUGGGAAGCUGAACCAAGAGGAUCACAAGUCCAGCUUGGGAAACCUAGCCACUUACAGAGAUCCUGUCUCAGAACAAAAUGUAAGAAAGGGCUGGAGAUGUACCUUAAAGUGAAGGCUCUGGAUUCAAUCUCUAGUACCUCAAAAAAAAAAAAAAAAAAAAAAAUCCUUCCAACAAACAAACAGAACAAUGGUACCAUUCAAGUUAUUGCUUGUUCCCCAAAAGUAUUACAAACAAAUUUUUACCAGAUAAGCAAUCUGGUGAGAAGGGGCCCUAUGAUCUUGCUUUGACACUAGUUUUCCGGCAUGCACACUGGUUUUAGGUAGACUAGCCUUUCUUGGGUGUAGAAAGCACAGAUUGUGGGGGAGGAAGUGAAGAAGACAAAGCUAAAUACUGUUGCCUCCAGCCCCACUUAGCUCUCCUAACUGAGGCUACCGUUAUCACCUAGUCCAUGCAAGAGACUAGGAAUAUAAAGCUCAGUGGUUUCUGACACUAAGCAACUCUCAGCCUAGAACAGAAUUGCACAUCUAUCUCUGUAAAGUUGUUUUGUUUUGUUUUGUUUUUUUGGUCUUUUUCCUUUUUAUUGGUACCAGGGAUCGAACUCACGACUGCCUGUUUGCAAGGCAGGCGCUUUUGCCGCUGAGCUAAAUCCCCAGCCCCGAAAGUUUUAAGUCCAUGCUUGUUUGGAAGAGGGCAUGGUGGUGAUGGGGAACUGGGGAGGCCUAGGUUUUCCUUAAAAGGAUGAUUCCAGUACACAGCCUGGAAAAAUGCUAGAUGAGGAAACAGAAACACAGAGCAGAGAUUCUGAACAGGUAAAGUCAUCCGUUAUUUCAGAUUGUAUUUUGGUCAGUGCAAUGAUAGAGAAGUGUGUUUAAUGUUCUGUUGGCUACUUAAGGGAAAAUCAAAACACCUUUCACCUCACUCUGACCUCUAUUUUCAUAAAGACCCAGAAUGACUACUAUUUACCCAGUGUCUGCUUUGACAGGUCAUUGUUAAUAAGCUAGAAAGGAAUGUAGGCUAUUUCUUGUAAUACAAAAGAAAAUAACCACUGGGUUCUUGCAACAUCUGUUUAUUGUUUCAAUUUAAUUAACACAUGUAUUUACUUCUUUUGCUCACUAAACAUAUUUAUUCAUUUUUGUACCCUCAAUAUGGGCCCGGCGAGGCACUUGAUGAAUGGUUUUCAAAUGAAUUAAAUGCAAAAAAGAAAAAAAUUAAGGUUGAUAUCAGUGAUGCUGGCAUGGGAUUCUUUGCAGAAAUCACUAAAUAGCUCGGAGAUUCUUAAGCCAUUAUGUUAACUCUCAUUAUAAUCAUAUCCUUAACAUUUUUUCCUUUAGCCUCAGUGACAUUGUGACCCUGGAAUAAUGCUUCUUUCCAUUUUAUGGAAAAUUCUAAUGUUAGAAGCAGAACCUUGAACCUCUAGUUGCUUUCUUGUAGUAUAGCCCAUUUUCUUCCUUCAAAUACACACACAGAUGGGGGGAUUGAUGGCCAGUGUAUUUCUAAAAUGAAAAGAAUUCUGUGUUUAUUUAAAGAUCUUAUUCUUAACCUAAUCAGGUAAUAUUCAACGAGAUCACUCAACUCACUUGUUGAGGUCUCAAUUUCCUCAUCUAUAAAAUAACAGUAAAACAUUGUUCCAUCUAUAUCGCAAGGAAAUUGUCAGUUUCAAAUCAUACAUGUUUCAUGGCUAGCCUGGAUUACAAAAUGAGUUCAAAACCAGCCUGAACUGUAUAACAAGACUGUCUCAGACAAACAAACACAAAUUAUAUGUGGGUGUGCUUUGCAAAAUAUUAAGUCUGUGUUUUUGUAAAGCAAGAGACAGGUACUGCUGUAGUACUUUUUAAAAAGUCUGUAUUUCCAGAGAUUAAAAUGGUUUGGUAUAGAUAUUUAGUUGUUGAAUGGAAUGUGACUUUUUUUUGUCCUGGAAAACACAAAAGAUAAUAAACAAUAAAAAGUCUGUUUAGUGAUAAA